Molecule: ribosomal RNA, 465 nt
Filed under: uncultured bacterium
Lineage: Bacteria
Description: partial 16S ribosomal RNA
Rfam family: Bacterial small subunit ribosomal RNA
Source: RNAcentral
CCUACGGGAGGCUGCAGUGGGGAAUAUUGCGCAAUGGGCGAAAGCCUGACGCAGCGACGCCGCGUGAGGGAUGAAGGUCUUCGGAUCGUAAACCUCUGUCAGCAGGGAAGAACGGUCACUGUGCUAAUCAGCAGUGAAUUGACGGUACCUGUAAAGGAAGCAUAGGCUAACUCCGUGCCAGCAGCCGCGGUAAUACGGAGGGUGCGAGCGUUAAUCGGAAUUACUGGGCGUAAAGCGCUCGUAGGCGGUAUGUCAAGUUAAUGGUGAAGUACCCGCGCUCAACGUGGGAACUGCCUUUGAAACUGGCAGACUUGAGUGUGUGAGAGGGUAGUGGAAUUCCAGGUGUAGGAGUGAAAUCCGUAGAUAUCUGGAGGAACAUCAGUGGCGAAGGCGACUAUCUGGCACAUAACUGACACUGAGGAGCGAAAGCGUGGGUAGCAAACAGGAUUAGAUACCCGGGUAGUC